GGUGAUGCAGAGCUUGCUCUGCUGAUCAGUGGCGAACGGGUGAGUAACACGUGAGUAACCUGCCCUUGACUCUGGGAUAAGCGCUGGAAACGGCGUCUAAUACCGGAUACGACCUUCCCCGGCAUCGGGUGGGGGUGGAAAGAUUUUUUGGUCAAGGAUGGACUCGCGGCCUAUCAGCUUGUUGGUGAGGUAAUGGCUCACCAAGGCGACGACGGGUAGCCGGCCUGAGAGGGUGACCGGCCACACUGGGACUGAGACACGGCCCAGACUCCUACGGGAGGCAGCAGUGGGGAAUAUUGCACAAUGGGCGAAAGCCUGAUGCAGCAACGCCGCGUGAGGGAUGACGGCCUUCGGGUUGUAAACCUCUUUUGGCAGGGAAGAAGCGAAAGUGACGGUACCUGCAGAAAAAGCACCGGCUAACUACGUGCCAGCAGCCGCGGUAAUACGUAGGGUGCGAGCGUUGUCCGGAAUUAUUGGGCGUAAAGAGCUCGUAGGCGGUUUGUCGCGUCUGCUGUGAAAUCCCGAGGCUCAACCUCGGGCCUGCAGUGGGUACGGGCAAACUAGAGUGCAGUAGGGGAGACUGGAAUUCCUGGUGUAGCGGUGGAAUGCGCAGAUAUCAGGAGGAACACCGAUGGCGAAGGCAGGUCUCUGGGCUGUAACUGACGCUGAGGAGCGAAAGCGUGGGGAGCGAACAGGAUUAGAUACCCUGGUAGUCCACGCCGUAAACGUUGGGCGCUAGAUGUGGGGACCAUUCCACGGUUUCCGUGUCGCAGCUAACGCAUUAAGCGCCCCGCCUGGGGAGUAC
Molecule: ribosomal RNA, 805 nt
Filed under: Rathayibacter sp.
Lineage: Bacteria; Bacillati; Actinomycetota; Actinomycetes; Micrococcales; Microbacteriaceae
Description: bacterial SSU rRNA
Rfam family: Bacterial small subunit ribosomal RNA
Source: RNAcentral